CGGCCUGGGCGGCGGCGAUGGCGCGGGCGGUUUCGGCCUGGCCGAGGUCGGCCACUUCGGCGAUCGGCUCGCCGUUGGCCGG
Molecule: transfer RNA, 82 nt
Filed under: Zestomonas carbonaria
Lineage: Bacteria; Pseudomonadati; Pseudomonadota; Gammaproteobacteria; Pseudomonadales; Pseudomonadaceae
Description: Pseudomonas sp. Wesi-4 tRNA-Arg
Source: RNAcentral